Molecule: ribosomal RNA, 742 nt
Filed under: Klebsiella pneumoniae
Lineage: Bacteria; Pseudomonadati; Pseudomonadota; Gammaproteobacteria; Enterobacterales; Enterobacteriaceae
Description: partial 23S ribosomal RNA
Rfam family: Bacterial large subunit ribosomal RNA
Source: RNAcentral
GGUACAGGGUGAUAGUCCCGUACACCAAAAUGCACAGGUUGUGAACUCGAAGAGUAGGGCGGGACACGUGGUAUCCUGUCUGAAUAUGGGGGGACCAUCCUCCAAGGCUAAAUACUCCUGACUGACCGAUAGUGAACCAGUACCGUGAGGGAAAGGCGAAAAGAACCCCGGCGAGGGGAGUGAAAAAGAACCUGAAACCGUGUACGUACAAGCAGUGGGAGCACCUUCGGGUGUGACUGCGUACCUUUUGUAUAAUGGGUCAGCGACUUAUAUUCUGUAGCAAGGUUAACCGUAUAGGGGAGCCGCAGGGAAACCGAGUCUUAACUGGGCGUUAAGUUGCAGGGUAUAGACCCGAAACCCGGUGAUCUAGCCAUGGGCAGGUUGAAGGUUGGGUAACACUAACUGGAGGACCGAACCGACUAAUGUUGAAAAAUUAGCGGAUGACUUGUGGCUGGGGGUGAAAGGCCAAUCAAACCGGGAGAUAGCUGGUUCUCCCCGAAAGCUAUUUAGGUAGCGCCUCGUGAAUUCAUCUUCGGGGGUAGAGCACUGUUUCGGCUAGGGGGUCAUCCCGACUUACCAACCCGAUGCAAACUACGAAUACCGAAGAAUGUUAUCACGGGAGACACACGGCGGGUGCUAACGUCCGUCGUGAAGAGGGAAACAACCCAGACCGCCAGCUAAGGUCCCAAAGUCAUGGUUAAGUGGGAAACGAUGUGGGAAGGCACAGACAGCCAGGAUGUUG